RNAcentral lists this long non-coding RNA (19133 nucleotides) under Fragaria vesca (wild strawberry). Its description in RNAcentral is "long non-coding RNA (FVES_LNC001527)". Lineage: Eukaryota; Viridiplantae; Streptophyta; Magnoliopsida; Rosales; Rosaceae. The record is from RNAcentral.
GUCAAAGGACCUCCCCCGCCUGUCGGAGGAAUUUGAGGGCCCGGACCCGGACGUAUUGGAGUUUAUUUCCCCUCUACCAUCAGACACCAUCAUACAGAUAAUGGGCACGUUUGGUAACUAGGAUAAGAUUGAAUUAGGAUAACAGCAAGAUUAGAUUAGGAUAAGAUUAGAUUUAUUUCAAAUCCUUUCAUUUGUUUGGUUAGAAGGAUUAGUACGGGAAUAGAUAUGUGGAAGAAAUAGAUCUCUGGUCAGCAUCCGUCUUCUUCAACACAAUCGAAAGCCCAAUUCGUCAAAUUCUCAAUUCCUCUGCGAACAUAAAUGCCUCAAGCUAAUUAACAGUGGCGGCAAGUAGAUGAGAGCCUCCGUCCCUCUGUCAACUCUAUUACAUGCCCAGAUGAAAUCAUCUACGACUCCUGCAGCUUUCCCAAUCUUCCUCCAAAGUCCUCAGCCUCUCCGCCGGCGCCGUCCACAAGGCUCUCUUUCCCGGCCAGGUCGUCGUCGCUCACAUCACGGUCGUCGAGCUUUUGGGCUUCGAUCUGUACAACUAGCUAUGAUAAAGUGUUUUAUUUCGCGCGGAGACGCAGAGAGGAGGGUCGCGUACUUGCGUCGUCUUUAGAUCCGGCUGGACUUUUUUAUAUCCCACCUUUCUAACAGGUUUUGAUAUCCUGGUCUGACAAGACAUAAUAUCCUGUCCUAGAACAAACUGAACUGCCAAACGCUGGAAUAGAUAUAUUUUUCUCCUAUCCAGUUACUUAACCGGGCAAACAAACACCGCCAAUAAGUAUUAUAUUUUGCCUAUAUAAUUUGAUGAUUGCAUCCGGAGAUUGAUCUGUGCAUUCAAAUUCUGGUUAUCCUUUUGAAACUCAAUCAUCAAUGGUUCCUUUUCCUUUUUUUUUCUUUUCUUUUACCAUUAGGCUUCUAAUAAUUAGACUUUCAUUCUUUGGAGAGUUCGCUAGAUACUUUGUGUUCGUAUGAAGAAUCAGUUUAAUGGGAUUGAUUUGAAGACAUUUUUGGUCACCAGAGAGCAGACACUAGAGUGUCAGUUAGCCUAAAUGGAUAUAUGGUAGAACAGGGAUCAUUUGAACCACUUUUGAAACUGAUGCAAGAUGGUUAGACAGCGUUAAGAAAGUUGAGGUAUCUCUUUUGAUCAAUAACAACAGAAGAUCACAUCAUUCACAUGUUAUGCUAUAGCUGUUAAGGCUAACAAACUAAGAAUCAAGGCAGGUUGACCACUGUUUGCGAUCAAGAGGUUUGAUCUCUUCAAUUUGAAUCUUGAUUUGUAUUUUUCCUUUUGUUUCCAUAGACCUUUGGAAUACAAUCACAGUACACUCACAUGAUAUGAUCUCAUAUCAUAUACCUGUCAUCCUCUAUUAAGGUGCAGAUCCAACAGAAGAUGGAUAUGAUUAACAAGAUUGAAAAUUAGAAGAGUCUUUCUUCAUUUAGAUUUGCUGGAUUCUUCUUGUUUUUAUUUUUAUUUUUAUUUUUAUUUUUAUAGUUCUAUGGGCUUAAAAUGGUCUGUAUAAUAUCAUUUGACCUUCCCAACAAUUCUUGUGAGAUCAAUGUAUUCUCCUUUAUUUUUUACUUAACAACAUUUUCACCUUUUUUCUCUCUCCUUUUUUUCUGCGGUUUUCUUCCGGUUUUAUAAGGGACUGUUUCCAAUGCAUGGAAGGCAAGGAUACAAUUCUGCCAAUUUUUUAUCGUGUGGAUCCCUGUGAUGUAUGAUAUCAGAAGAAUAGUUAUGAAGUGGCGCUUAAGUUGCAUAAGAGCAAGGCAAGACAUGGCAUGGAGAAGGUGAACCCGUGGAGAGCUGAUUUAACAAAAAUGAGAAAUCUCUCUGCUACUGAGAUUGCUGUAUGGAUUUGUAAACUACGUACUACUGUACUAGUAUCAUUUUUACCUCUCCGAAUCACCCUGCAUAUUGUGUGACAAUAUCAGUGCCUCACCUCUUGCUUCAAAAUGGUCCAGCAGCUGUAGCUGUUAACUGUCAGAAGAUGCUGCAGGAUACUGGUGACAGAGGAGCUCUAGAACUGUCGUAACUUUAUAUAUAUUCUAGAUUACCCAUUCAGCUCAAAGUUAGGACAUAUAUAUGCUUAUAGGUCAGGAAAUAUUCUUGUAAAUAAAUUCAGUCUUAGGUGUAAGAGAUGAGUUAGUAAAAUCCAAAAUUUUCAGAGCUUCAAAUUCUCUUUGUUCAUCAAGCAAAUCAUAUCAGAGGGGGGUGUGUUUAUUUGUGUGAUAAUGGGUACGAAAACUAGUUAUUUGGGCUUUUGUGGAUCAAACAUAUAUGAGAAGCCAGGCCCAAACAACUACAUGGGUCGGGCCCGGAGUCUUCUUCAUCCAUUGCCGAAAUGCGGGAACUAUAGAAGUGGCCGCUAGCUCUUGACGCUCCGGUUUCCGCGCGUGGAGAGUACACGCCUGUCAGCUCAAAACUAUCAUCGUCUCCAUUCUCGGAUGAAAAUCAGGAUUGAGUUGCCUGCGUUCUUGUUAAGGUACAAGUGACCUCACUUUGUUUACCAUUCUUGUUCCUUAAUUUACUGUGUUUCUGCAUGUGUGUGUAUAUGAUCAAUUUAUGGGCUCUGUAUUUGAUUUGAGUUAGUUUGAUUGGAGAUCAGUUACUGGUUGCUUAGUUUGUGUUGGAUUUUCUAUCCGACUACAAUUGAUUGGUUGAUACUAGUUUCAUGUACAUCUCAAUGCUGGGUCGUUUUGUGUUACUCUGAUUUUCGAAACAAACAGAAAAACAUCUCAAUGUGCAAUCAGAGAUGGCCGUUUAAUUACAUAUGAUUAUCUUAUUGGCCGGCAGCAAGUUGAGAUAUUAUAACAUCUGGGUUUGGUGUUUUUUCAAGCAAUAGGUUUUAAGUACUUGACAUUUUUGUAUCAUGACAUUUUCACCAUGUGAAACCGAUAAUUAAAAUCACCUUAUUCAGAUAACUAACUCAUUUAAAAUACUUCUGUGGCCAAGUUGUUAGUUAUCUAUGUCAUGGUUGUUAACAACUUUCUUUUGGGUUAAAUAAUUUUCACAAGCUUUUGCCUUUCGUGGGUUCCAAUGAGGCAAUGACCUGCAAUAGGAGACAUUAUUGGAUCUCUUGUUGUUUCCAGUCACAGUCUCACAUUCAGUCUUCUUCGUCUCCUCCCUUCAUUGCUUCUGUCUGGAAAUCAGUUGCUGGUUUUCAAUGGCCUCCUCCUCUUCAUCAUCGUCAACUCGCAGCUGGAAGUAUGAUGUCUUUUUGAGUUUCAGGGGUCCUGACACUCGCAAAGGGAUUACAGCCCAAAUACGCGAUCGACUUCGUAGAAGUGGCAUUAUAACGUUCAUGGAUGAACCAGAUCUUAGAGUAGGGGAUACCAUUUCGCCCACUCUCAUAAAGGCAAUUAAAGAGUCGAGGUUUGCAAUCGUAAUUCUCUCGCAAAAUUAUGCUUCUUCUACUUGGUGUUUGGAGGAACUUAGAGAGAUUUGUCUGUCCAUGGAAGACAACAGAAUUUUGCCACUUUUUUUUGAAGUUGAUCCUACUGAUGUUCGACAUCAGAAGAAGAGUUUCGAAGAAGCUUUCUCUAAGCAUGAAACCUCUGGCCGACAUGAAUCAGACAAGUUGAAUCAAUGGAGGGCUGCCAUAAGCAAAGUGGCCAAUAUCUCAGGGUGGAACACAAAUGAUUAUAAGUAAGCAUUGUGCCUUCAAUUUCAAUUCUAUUAAUUUUAUCAAUUAAUAUCUGUGAUUCAAUUUUUAUUCUUCCCACUCUUUUAAAACAAUUGAGCUCCCAAGACAGGACAAAACACACGAAACACAAUUAAAAUGACAUUUUUAUUUUCAUUAUUAUUUUUCUUUGUUAUCGGUCAUAAUGUAAACAACAACAACAAAAAUCAAAAUUAUGCAGAAUACGUAAAGUUGAUGAUUGUUUCAUUUUCUUUACUUUAGUAAUGCAAGUUACAAACAACAUUAUGGACACUCCUCCUAGAAUGUUGCUUUUCUGUUUAAAUCUAUAAUUUUAAUAGUAAUUCUUUUUUUCUUUUUCUUUUUUUGAUGCAACAGAACAUCUGGUUUACAAUCGUGAAGUCUCUAGCUCUGCUUCUGACUUCCAUUGCAAGAAGUAAUCUAUAUAUUUUACCUAACACUUAAGUUUUAAUCCUUAUAACUCUUUAAUUCUUCCUUGUAGGACUCACGAAGAACUUGUUGACAAGAUUGUGGAAUCUCUCCGCAGUGAAGUACCACCAGAUGCAAUUGAAUUCACAGAUGAUUUCCAAGCAUUUGGAGCAACAAAAGAAGCGACAGACAAGGUUAUGAAGGCGCUAACAGAUGACAAGAUUACUGCCGUUGGUGUCUAUGGCAUGGGCGGCGUUGGAAAGACAAGCAUGGUGAGACAUGUAGCUGCACAAGCCUGCAGAAAUGGUACUUUUAACCACUGGAUUAUGGCUGUCGUAUCCCAAAACCUUGACUUGGAAAAAGUUCAAGGUACAUUGGCAGAUUUGUUGGGCUUUAAAUUCGUCGAGGAGACAGAAGCUGGAAGAGCAAAUAAGUUGCAUAAGGAGAUCAUGAGAAAAGAAAAACUCCUGAUAAUUGUGGACGAUGUUUGGGAGAGAACAGAGUUGUCAAAGAUAGGGAUUCCCACCUACAAUGAGCUUCAAAAGUGCAAGUCCAAAGUGCUACUCACCACCAGGAGAUUGAAUGUCUGUAAUGCCAUGAAGUGCCAUGAAAAGAUCAGCCUCAAAGUUCUCUCAGAUCAAGAUUCUUGGACCUUGUUCGUGAGAAAUGCAGGAACAAUUUCUUUUGAGCCCACCUCAUUUGAGAAAGUGGCAAGGAGGGUAGCUUUAGAGUGUAAGGGUCUACCGAUUGCAUUGAUAGCUGUUGCAAGGGCACUCGGAGAUGAGGACCAGGAGGAAUGGGAGAAGGCAGCUAACAGCCUAGAGCAGUCGCAAUAUGUCAAUCCCAACCAUGAGGAAGAUGAGGAAAAUGCGUUCAGUUGUAUACGAUUAAGCUAUGAUUACUUGAAAAAUGACGACCACAAGUCAUGCUUCUUGCUCUGUUGCCUGUUCCCAGAAGACCAUGCCAUCUACAUAGAAGACUUGUUCCGGUACGCGAUCGGAAAAAGAUUGUUUCGAGAUGCGAAAACAAUGGAAGUAGCCAGAGGAAGAUUAGUUACAGUGGUCAAGUACCUGAAAAAUUCUAGCUUGCUUUUGGAUAGUGAGGAAAAAGGAUGUGUAAAGAUGCAUGAUGUCAUCCGGGAUACAGCCAUUCAAAUUGCCAAAUCUGAAGAUUGCCAUCGGUUUUUGGUGGAAGCUGGUCGUGGUUUAAAGGAUUGGGCUCCACGGGUAUUGCAUGAAGGCUGCACUGCAAUUUCACUGAUGAACAACAAAAUUCGCAAGCUACCUGAAGAAGAGUUGGUAUGUCCAAAUCUCCAGAUUUUAUUACUAAACGGGAAUGCUGUACUAAGUGAGAUCCCCGAAAAGUUCAUCCUGAAUCUGAAAGAGUUAAGGGUCUUGGAUCUUAGUUACACUGAUAUUUCUGUAUUACCCCAAUCAUUUAGUCUCCUCACCAACCUCCAAGCUUUGUAUUUAAAUGGUUGCGACAAAUUGAUUGACAUUUCUGUUGUGGGGAAACUUAAGAAGCUUGAAAUUCUUAGUAUCAGAGACUGUUCCAUGGGGAAAUUGUCAAGAGAAAUAGGACAUUUGACCAAUCUAAGGAUUUUGGACGUCAAUUCCUCUGCGAUACGAUUCAUAAUUAGAAGAGGACGGCUGAUGUGCACAUUUCCCUUUACAAUUCCAUCUAAAGUGAUACCAAAGUUGCAUGAAUUAGAAGAAUUAUACAUGGUGUACUGUGGCUUUGAGGAGAACGGGUGGUGUGUAGCUGAGGGACCAACAGAAACAACCAAUAUUAUUAGGUUUGAUGAGUUAGCUGGUUUAUCAAAUUUGAAAAUAUUGCAGGUUGGCUUAUCCGAUGAAAGUUUCAUCCCUAAAAAUGUUGAGGUCGCACCAGAUUGGGAUUACUUUUGUAUAACUAUCAACGGCAGAUACCCCAACUCUGUAUACGAACAAGGAGAUCAUAAUUCAAGAUCCUUGUUUCUUAAUGGAGCAACCAUCAGUACCUUGCCUGAUUGGUUUAUCAAAGCGGUGACAGAGAAAACAGAGAAGCUAGAGUACAACCGUUGCGGAGGGAUGAGUGACAUUGUUAUGGAAUAUGACCAUGGCAGGUUACAUAAACUCAAGCAUCUCACAGUUGCUGGGUGUGCUCGUGAUUCUUCUUAUGUGUACUUGAAAGAGUUGGUGAACACAACAAGACGAGUUGAAACCGGACCCGUGUUUGAGAAUUUGGAAGAGUUGCAUCUGAAAUUUCUGAAGCACCUGGAGGAGUUGUGUGUUGGUGAGUUACCACCUGGGUCUCUCUCAAAUCUCAAGGUGUUUCAUGUGUUUUCGUGUACGAUUUUGAGGAGUGUAUCAGAAUUUGUACAGAGACUACCAAAUCUGGAGAAACUAGAUUUAAACUAUAUGGUCAAAUUGGAAUAUGUGUUUAGAUACGAAGGGUUCGAGCCAGAACAAUCAAAACUGAGGGAGAUGCAUUUGUUGCGUCUAGAAGCACUAAGAAGCAUAUGUAAUGGUCCCGCUCCACAUGCAAUGUUCCAGAGUCUUAAAAUUUUGACCAUUGACCGUUGCCUGCUGCUGCAAAGUCUGUUCGCAUCUGAUGUAGCGGACUGUCUUGUUCAAUUGGAAGAACUUCUUGUAGUGGAUUGCCCUUUGUUGGAAAGAGUAAUGGAAGCAGUGACCAAGGCGAAGACGGUUCUACCAAAACUGAAGAACUUGGGUUUGAUGAAUCUUCCUAUGUUGUAUGGUCCAAUUGCUGCCGUUGAUAUUGAGUGUCCUUCAUUGGAACACUUGAUGGUGGAGGAUUGCCCCAAGCUUUUAUUUUCAACUUUUUCCGAUCUCUUCAAAGCCUUCAAAAGCAGGAACCAAUUUUCAUUUUCAGCCUCGGCGUGUCAGGUAUUGACGUAUUUACUUUGUUUGUUCUUUUCUUCUGUAUUUUGUAGGGCAGCAAUUGGGCAAAAACUGAUUUGAUUCAGUUUUUAUUCUUCCCACGACAAGACAGAACACCACGAAGCACAAUUAAAAUAACAUUUUUAUUUUCAAUCUUAUUUUUCUUUGUUAUCAGUCAUAAUGUGAACAACAACAACAAAAGUCAAAAUUAUGCAGAAUGCUUAAAGUUGAUGAUUGUUUUGUUUUCUUUACUCUAAUAAUGCAAGUUACAAACAACAUUAUGGACACUCUUAGAAUGUUACUUUUCUGUUUAAAUCUAUAAUUUUAAUAGUCUUUUUUAUUUUUUGUCCUAUUUUGAUGCAACAGAACAUCUAGGUUCCAAUUGCGAAAUCCCAAGUUCAGCUUCUGACUUCCAUUGCAGGAAGUAACCAAGUUCAACUCUAUUUCUUUGUCUAGGUAUGCAAUGUGAUCAACUGAAUUAUUUUCUUUUCAUUGAAUGGUAGAUUUCUUGUGAUGCCACAUAUAUAAACUAAAAAUGUUACUUUUUUCUAAGAUAAUGGAGUUCUCAUAAUUCAUUUGCUUUCCCAAUCUUCUGUGUAUUAGUGAUUCAGUGCAACAAACAAAUUUUAACUUCAGUUUUCUUUUCCGCUCCUAUAUUCUUAUUUUUCUUUUUAUAAUUCGUCGUGAUCAAUCAUUUCUUUUUUCUAAUUUUGAUAAGUAAUUGAUGAAAGAUAUUAAAUUUGUGAAAGAAAAACAAUGUCACACUGAAAACUUUGUACCAAUGAGGAUUGUUUUGUUUUCACUACUUGCUAAUACAAAUUACUGAUUUACUGGUAUAAGAAAAUGUCUGGUUUGAAACAAAUUUCAAUCAUGAUGAUUGCAUACAUCAUGUUUUAGUCAAUUCAUUCAGUCCUCAUAUAUGUUAAAAUAAUGACUUAUUUGACUUGAAGGUUGUAAAUGGACAAGUAUACUCUGCAUAUGAAGCAGAAAUUCGUGAUUUAUGAAUGGGUACACUAUUUAACACACAGUAGUACACACACACACACACAACAAAAAUGAUGAUGAUGAUAAAUUAAGUUACAACUCAUACCCCCAUUGCUCUCUUUCACUCUUUGUUAUUGAGUUUAUCUAGUGUAUAGAAAAUAGAGUUAACAAAAGACUAGCAUCUACGAAAUGAGAACCUAAAUAUUGUUACCAAAUUCGAGUUUCCUUUGAUGCAGCAUAUUAAGCCUAGAACAAUACACACACUAUGCAUCACAGUACGUACCACUCUCCAGCUCCAACAGAAAAUCUUCAGAAAGUAUUACCACUGAAACCGGCAAAAUAAGCUUACACAGAGUUUGCAAGAGCAGCCCUGCUAUUACAACACAAUACAGUAGUGGAAAUUACAGCUAACUAUACAUAUCCAAUCUAAAUUAAUUGAUUAACACUAUUGUGAGGUGUGAACUAGAAACUAACGGUCACAUUGCCGAAAAAAAUGAACCCUUCUGUGGAGGAUCACUCGCCGGUGUUGUUGGAUGGCUUCUGUUAAGAAUUUGGCACUAGCCGACCAUUGUACAUCUUCUCAAGUAGCUGCUUUGCAUCAGGCCUCCUGAGAAGAUCUUUGUUGUUUGGUACACCAGUCCCUAAACAUACGGGGCAAACGAGUUUCCCAAGACCUGACAACAAGAAGAACCGAUCACUCAUCAAAGAAAAUGAGUAUCCAUUGCAAUAGGAUACCACACAACAGAAUGUUGAUAUGGGAGGGAAAACAACGACUCCAAUUUCACAACUAUCUGCUAUGGUUUAUGACGAUUCUUGUUUUUUAUUUUUUAUUUACUUGAUUCAGUGUCUGAUGACUGCAAAUGCAACAAAACUGUGAUAGUGUAUCGAUGUUUAUUAAUAUGGAACAAAAACAGAAAUAUGAGUCUCAAUGGGAAUUCAUACCAUAACAAUUUGGACAUUCUGUAAACUCAUACACAUCUUUAGCUCGUUUUCUGUUGAGAGAUUUCCAUUUUCCCGUACCACCACACAUAUCACCUGAAUAAAAAGCAAAAGAACAACUCAGCGACAAGCGUAUAUCGUAUACCACAUGUAAACAGUACAUCUAAACUACAAGGGAAAAGAUCAACAGAAAACGAGGCAUAAUUAAAGGAGAAGAAGCACUGUGUGUCUCUCCUAACAAAGCCAAAGCAAAAACUUUGAGGCAUAAUUAAAGCAUCUCAAUUAUUUAUAUCUAACCAGGACAACUAUAUUUGAGAUGAAGAUAACGAACACCAGGAAACCUAUUACCAACAAAGAAAACAGGGACUCGUAUAUGAAAUGAUUAUGAGAAGUGAGCUGGUACAGUAUUUGUAUUCUGCAUUACGUUUCGUAUCAAACAGACAAUUACAAUGCAGCGUGCAAUUAUAGCCUAGUGUUCAUGAUCUUAGACACCUAAAGCAAGUAAAAUGCAGUUAGCACGGUGCUCGUGAUGCACAGUUCCAAGAGUGAUCCAUCAAUUGGAAGGUAUGUUAGAUUUGGUCACAGUAGGUAAACAGCAUACUAUACAGCAAAGAAAUCAUAACAUAUCAUAGUUCUAUAUAAGGACUCAUGAAGCAGAAAAUGCACAUGUUUUGAAGUUGGAUUUUCAGGAAAACCCUUAACAUAACUGCAAAUUCAAUUUGAAGUUUAUCUAUCUCUUAUAAGCUUCAAGUUUUAUCUGGAUGGAUAAUAACUCACCGGUUGAAGGCAGGGAUCAAAACUAGACCCAUGAGAUUCAAGGAAACCAUUAUGCACAAGUUAUUGAUACGCCUUCAUCGUAAAACUCUGAAUUGGAUUUACUACAUGAACCCCGAAGCUCCCCAUCCCUGUGUACUUGACACUUGCAAUACCAUAUUCAAACUCAAAGUUAAAAAGAAAGCUAUUGGAACAUGGCGUUAAGCCAGUGCCAGCCUCGCUGAGCCGUCUUAUUGUUGUAUUGGAUGGAAUAUAGUGCAACCACACAUUACCACACAACUUCCACCAAUGGUGGUCUUCUUCCAGCCCUUGAAUGAUGCACACACCAUUAAUGUAGAUUGUACGUAAUCUGAGAAAUGAAACCCUGUAGUAGCAUACAUCAGUCUGAUGAUGAACAUAGAAUGCCAGUCCUCCUUUGCUUUCCCAUAAUUUGAAAUUUCCAGGAAUGUCAAUUUUGAACUUGUAUACUUCGACUCCUUUCCCAUAGUAUAUACCCUUAGGCUGGGGCAACCUCUGAAAGCUCAUACGACAGGUGAACCAGUCUGGAAUUUCACUUGCUGCAGGAAAGCAAUCCUGGAAACUAGAUUGCCAGCAUGAAAGAAACAGAGACAGCAGAGCUGAGACCUCUGAAUUAUCCCCCGGUAAAGUAUUCUCUUUCUUCAUCUUUGCCAAGUAAUCAAUGGCCAGAUUGCGGCACAGCGUAUGCAAAGAUGCAACUCCAUCCAGGGGAUCAUUUUUGACUCUCUGCCUUCCACAAUGUUUGACAGACUUGAAAUUGUUCUCAACAAGACGCAACCCCUUGUGUCUAAGGACUCUAAGCCAUCUAUUUCUCACAGGAACUCUAAAAUUUCCACUAGAUUCCAGCACUCUGUCAAAUUGAUGAACUCUUGAGAAUCAUAGCGUAACUUUAUUGUCUUUAACUCACACUUGGUUGGAAAUGUAGCCAGAUUGUAACAAUUGGUCAAGGUGCUUCAGAUGUUGUAACUCAAGAAUGCUGCAGGGAACAGUUGUUACGCUACAGCAGUUUGUCACAACGUAGCUCUUCAAGAUUAAUGAGAAAUCUAAUUGAUGAAGGAAAUCCUUUGAUGCCAGUACGCCCUAGGUCCAGGCUUUUCAAGGAUCUCAUCUCUUCGACAAUUUCAAACUUCUGAAGUUUCUCACAGCCACUGAGGUUCAGGUUGACCAGAUUCUUAGCAUUUCCAACCUCAACUUCAACUAAAUUUGUACAAUGACUUAGAUUCAAGUCCACUAAAUUCGGGAACAUAGACAAGCCACUGAUCUUUCUUACACCAUAAGAAUUUGACAUGUCGAUAGAUUUCAAAUUCUGCAUAAUCUGCAUAUGUGAAAAUAUUAGAAAGAAAUUAUAAUGUCAUUUUAAUCAAACAGCAUUAGACCAUUAAUAGUAAAAAUUACCUUCGGUGCCUCCCCCAAAGGUGAUGUUUGGCGGCUAUGAUGCAUCCUUAGUACAACAAGUUUCUUGGGAUAAAAACUAGGCGGAAACGACAGUAAUGGACAAUAAUCCCAAACUAGGAGCCUCAAUUCGUUGGAGAGAUAAUUUAUAUGAUCUCCAGUGAAGGAGCCUCCAGUGUAAAAAUCACGAGGGCUUACAAAGAUUUGAAGAUUUUUCAUCUUUGAGAAGCUAUCAGUGUUCAGAUGUAUCUUUUCUCCCCUGCAAUUCAGGUCAUUGAGCAUGAUGCCUCGAACUUUAUCCGAUCCCUACAACCAAAAAACAAAAAUAUUGUUAAAAGCUCAAUGUGUCUCAUAGAAUUUCACAUAUAUUCUCAGUUCUGUAUUGUACAUAGAAGACGGUCUUCAACUAUUGAUAUGGGAUAUAUCACUUACUGUGUUUUCCAUAAAAACUCGGUAAACAUCCUCAUAUAGCCAUAAUCUGCUACGCUCUCCAGGCUCAGUAGGAGACUCUUGACAAACUAUUUCUUUCCCCAUUUUCUCUAGCAGAUCAUGCAUCAAAAUGCAAUUCUUUUCAUUGAUGCUUAUGAGGGCCUUUUCUGUGAGUGCUUCAAUACCAUAUUCAGGAUUGAGAUCGCAUCCUCUUAGAAUAUCUAUCACGUAGUUCUUAGCUUUUCCGUUAAAGAAACAUGCAAUGUGAAGAAAAAUCUCUUUUGUCAAACCAUCCAGUGCAUCAUAGCUUCUUCUGAGGAUUUCUUGAAUCUCUUUCUUUGGUUCUGUUGCAUAACCAUCUAAUGCAACUUUCCAUUGAUCUACAUUUCUACCACGGAGAUGUGAACCCAAAACUACCAAUGCUAAGGGAAGCCCUUGAGCAUAAAGAGUUAGAUUAUCAAUGAGUUCAACAUAGUCAUCCAUAUUUUGGUUUUUUUUAAAGGCAUAUAACUUGAAGAGCUCUAAAGCUUCAUGAUGACUCAACUUCUCCAUUUUGUAUAUAUAAUUGACAUCAUGAGCAGUAAGCUGACCCUUAUCUCUUGUUGUGAUGAUUAUUCUACUACCUGAACCAAACCAAUCAGACUUUCCGACUAAUUUAUCUAACUGGUUGAAAUCAUUCACAUCAUCAAGAAUUAAGAGAACCUUUUUAUGGCACAACCUUUCUUUUAUGAGAGUGAUCCCUUCAUCAACACUAGUAAUCCUUAAUUCUUUCUCCUUGAGAAACUUAGAAAGAAGAGAAAUUUGCAAUUCAACUAGGCCUCCAUAUCUGAUUGAUCUCUCUCUAACAUUUUCCAGAAAACAGCUACCUUCAAAGUUAUGAGCAAUUGAAUUAUACACACCUUUAGCAAUCGUUGUCUUUCCGAUUCCACCAAUUCCCCAUAUCCCCACCAUGCGGACAUCAUCUUCUCCAACACAUAGAAGCUUAAGCACAUCCUCCACACGAGGCUCUAUUCCAACAGGGUAUUUUGCCACGCUUAACUGAAGGCGAUCUAAUAGUUGUGCUGAUAUCCGUUCCACGAUUGUAUCGAUGAAUGUAGAUUCAUGACUGCCAAUGAGAAGCACUUGAUUAUUGGUUCAAAAAAGUAUAGCAGAUAUUAUGAGUUUAGCUUACAAAGAAGACUACAGCUACCAUGCAAGCAGAGCUGUUCUUGUACAAGUACCUUCCAUUAAUGAAAUGCAGGCCAGAGAGAUUUGAUGCUUUAGUAAGAGCUUCUCUCCAUCUCAUGACUUUCUCCGAGUUGUCUUUUAAUCUGCUUUCGUGGUGAGCUAGUGCUAGGCCAAAACCACCUCUUUGAUGUCGUACAUCCGAUGGAUCUACCUUGUAAAAAACAGGGUAAACCAGUUGUUGCUUUGAUUCUUUACAGUCAAGAAUGCUGACAAGUUCUUCCAAGCACCACCCAGAGGAAGCAUAAUUCUCCGAGAAGAUGACGAUAGAAAUUCUGGAUUCUUGAAUUGCUUUUUGAAGGGCAGGUGAUAUCUCAUCUCCUGUGCCAAGUCCUUCAUUGUCAAUGAAGGUUUUGAUUCCUUUUUGGUCCAAAUUUCUGCACAGAUGGCUUACAAUAUUGUUGCGUGUAUCCACACCUCUAAAACUGAGAAAGACAUCAUAUGUCCAUGAGUGAUGAUCAUGAAUGGGAGAAGAAGAAGAAGAGGAGGAACAGCAAGAUGCUCUGCCUUGUUUCUUGCCAAGAACUGAGCGGAGAUGGAAUCCAUAUUGUUUGAAAAAAUUAGCAUGCUGGGGAUACUUGAUAACCGAAGCUGAUUGAAUGAUGAGUUUGUUAAAUGAGGGGUUAUUGAAUCGGCUGUGAUUUGGUUUGAACUUAAAUUGAGAGGAUAUGAUCAAUGCUUGGGAGGACAACAUGAUCUAUCUUCGAUCGGGCUGAGAAGUUGACCAACUAUAUAGUUGAGGGUGCAUGUGAGUUGGGGGUGCAUGUAAUUGCCUAGUAAUACUAAUACCAAUAGAUCCUCUCACAUUUGACCAUUUCAACCAGUUGAAAGGCCCACUACUCUUUUUUGUUUUGUUUUUUUUAGUAUGAAAGGCCAACUAACCAACUAAUUAAUGAGGUUUUUACAAUUAUAUUAUUAUAAUUACCACUAGCAGACUCCUACCUAGUCUUUCUCAGGCACAAGCAAAACUAACAAGGAUCGAUACCCAUCAAAGAAAAUGAGUAUCCAUAGCAGAAGAAUACAACACAACAGAAUGUUGAUAUGGGAAGGGAAAAGCAAGGGCUCCAAAACUCCACAUUUAUAACAACUCAUACGUCUGACCAUCAUAAUUUCUGUAUUAUUUCCUCUAAGAGUUCACAUUUAUAACAACUCAUACGUCUGACUAUCAUACUUCCGUAUUAUUUUCUUUAAUCCUGACAGUUCAUGUAUGUACAAUGUAUGUGAAGAUACACUUCGUGUAUUAGAGAUGUUCUCUAUGGUUUAUGACGAGUCUAUUUUUUUAGUUUCUAAUGACGAAAGUUGCAACAAAACUGUAAUAGUGUGUCGAUGUUUUUUGCAGGAUAUAUGGAACACAAACAGAAAUAUGAGUAUCAAUGGGAACUCGUACCGUAACAAUUUGGACAUUCUGUAAACUCAUACACAUCUUUAGCUCGUUUUCUGUUGAGAGCUUUCUAUUUUCCCGUACCACCACACAUAUCACCUGAAUAAAAAGUAAAUGAACAACUCAGCAACAAGGGUAUACCGUAUACCACAUGUAAACAGUACAUCUAAACUGCAAGGGGAAAGGAUACCCAAAUAAUGUAUGCAUCAAGGUUUAGUUGAGUCAUACAGGAGAAGAAGCACUGUGUUUCUCCCCUAACAAGCCAAAGCACAAACUUUGAGGCAUAAUCUAUAGCAUCUCAAUUAGUUGAGUCUAACCAGAACAACUACUAUUUGAGAUGAAAAUAAGCAUUUAAGAACACCAGGAACCAAUUACCAACAAAGUUAAGAGGAACUCAUACAUAAAGUGAUUAUGGCCAAUGAAAAACUUAAGAGUUCGUUUUCUAGCUGAACCUUCAAACCAAUAUAAUCUAUACAUCAUUCUGAGAAGAAAAGAAAAAAAAAAUAAUAAUCUAUACAUAACUUAUCUGCACACGCAGAUAUUUGGCUAGAAAUACAAUACCACAGGAAUUAUAAAAUCGGGAUCAUUUCCAAGUUCCAACCAUGAAUAACAAAACGCAACAUCUAUACUUACAAAGCACAGCUCCACAAUUUUGGCAGACUGGUGGUCUGUGUUUUCCAUCCAGUGCAACUGCCUUUAGAGAGUUGCUUAUCAAACCACCAGCUAACAUAGACAAGUGAGACACAAUCGUCAAGAGAUUAAGACCUCAGAUCUUUAAUGUUAAAACAUAUCCAUGGUAAUUUACAGUAUUGUUUUUUUUUUCUAUAAAAACUUAAACGGUAUUUUUUUUCCCGACUAACGGUAUUGGUUUUGAAAGCCUCCAACACCAAUCAGACAAUUCAAACUAACAUUACAAUAUAUAUAAAUAUAUAAACAAUUAGGUUGAAAGGGCCACCAAGUUUCAAACCAGGAGAUAGUUUCUAUCGACUUAAAAAUCCUAUCUAACUGAAACAUUCCAUCAGAAGAUAUCAAAGCAAUGUUAAUGCCCAUAACACAGGAGAUUCAAUAGAAAGACUCUAUCUUGUCUUGAACGAAAUACUAUAUCCAUGAUUCAAGACACAGAGAUAAUGAACUUGAUCUACACAGCCCAUAAAACAGAAGAUAUUGAACAAAGCAAUAGUGUCAUUACCAACAUGCAUCAGGCUACAUGAAAGAAAUAACAAGCAUCAAGCCAACACAUACCCUUUCUCUCAUGCCAUUUUUUGUUAGAAACUAUAGUAAUCGCUUAUGAUCAAGAAGAUAGCUGACAGAAAAAAGAUCAAUACAUUCGAUGGUUUAGCCCGAAUCCCCAGGACUGCCACUCUCGUUGUCAAGAUUUGGAUCUUACAUGAAACCCAACUGACUUUGAGUUCACUGCCAAAUUUCACACAUGCAAAUGAUAGUUAAAACCAUUGCCUAAUCAACAAUAAAAUCUCUACAUAUGUUCUACUGUAUUCAUGCUUUUAUAGAUACAUACAACUAAAGAAACAGAAAAAACGAGAUGAGAGUAUUUGAAAGGAAAUGACCGGUUUCAGUUUCAGAGUGAGAAACAAGACUCACAGUGGGCUGGUGAAAAUUGCGGCAAGAGAUGAGAUGAAGAAGAAGAAGCCACACCACCUCUCUUUCUAAAUUAAGCGAAUUGGGCUUUUAGCAGGUUAGGCGGUUACAAUACACGUCAUGGCGGUCGGGCCGUGAUGGGCCUACACAGAUUGGGGAUCCACCUAACAAAGUCCAAAUUUCCGAAAAAAAAAGGAAACAAAUCAAUUUUAGUUGGGCUUUUAGCGGGCUUGGCGUAGAUAGUACAUGUCAUGGCGGUCGGGCCGUGGUGGGCCAACAUGGACAAGGGUCCAACAUUUUAAAUAAAAAAGAACGACGAGUCGUAGCUCGCCGUCUUCAACGACGGAUUGAGAGCAGUCCACGACGACCCAGCCGGGUACCAUCUUAAACUUGGUUGCCGAUUAAGCUGGGAAGUACUCUAAGCAUUUGGAUUAGUUACAACACAUACCCCUUUGCUCUCUUUCACUCUGUUAUAGAAACAGAGUUUACAAAAGACUGGCAUCUACGAAAUGAGAUCGUAGAUAUUGUUACCAAAUUCGAGUUUCAAUUGAUGCAGCCUAGAACAAUACAAACACCAUGCAUCGCAGUACGUACCACUCUCUAGCUCCAAAAGAAAAACUUUAGAAUUCAAAAAGGAUUAUCACUCAAACCGGAAAAAUUUACCAUAUUACUAAAGGAUGGCCAUAGUGUUUUUACUGUUCACUAAUGACAAUAAAAAGACGGUUAUGCCCUCCUUUGUACGGUGAAAUUACGGAUUUGCCUUUUUUUUUUUGUCGUGUCUCUUAAACUUUUCUUCUGAUCUCUCUCGAUCACUCUCACUCCAUAAAGUAUACACUGCGUCAAGGUGCAGACACUAAUUCUAGUAUGCUUACAGAAUUUGCAAUAAACAGUAGUGGAACUUACAGCUAGCUACUCAGCCUCGAGGGUCCCACCUUUAAGAGGGAGAAUAGCAAAGUCAACGAACUUGAAAUUUGUAUUUGCUUGGGCCCAAGAGGGAUAGGCAGAACCCGAUCACGUCAUGGCAGUUGCCAGGAAAGUGGGCCUACCGGGGCUGGAGGGUCUCACCUUUAAAAAUAGAAAUAAAAAAAUGUAAAAAUUAAAAAUAAAAAGAUGUUUGACCUCUCUCUCUCUCUCAGACCGGUUGUGUUUUCAGUUUCAUUUUUGUUCCAGUUUUUCGACCGCCAAGUUCUAUUGUUUGUUUCAAUUAUCAAAGGAGGCGCCUUUCUCGCCUUUCUCGCCUUUCAUAGAGUUGACUAGAACCAAAAUGUAAUGAAUUUUUGACUUUUUCUUCUUUACUGAGUCUGUUAAUGGAAUUGUUACUGGGUUCUCUCGGUUUUGUGAUAUUUUGAGCUGUGAGAUUGUUUGUAUGAACUUGGAUAGUUUAGUAUUGAGCUCCAUAGGAAUCAUUGAAAUAUGAUAGAGUUGACUCCGGUUGAGAUAGAUUGCUUGGUUUGAGCUGAAUUAUAGGCCAAAAAUUUGGAAUGUUUUUCUAAAUUUGAAGCAGAUGAAGUUUGUAUUAGUAAUUUAUAAUGUGUGGUUUGUAUUGGGUGCAUUUUGUAGAUGGCUUGAUGGGAUGAGAUUCUGUCGAGUUUUUUUUUUUUUGCUGAAACUAGGCUUUUACUGAUGUGCAUGACUAGUCACCUCACUCAGUUUUGUUAUUUUAUCAGUACAUCAUUAUCUCGGUGGGGAUUGCGAAAUGGUGGAGCACAUACCUGAAGAUGUGCUAGUGAAGAUCUUCCAGAGGUUGCCCGUCACAUCUGUUUCGAAGCGCUGGCGCUUCAUCAUUCUCCGAGACCCUCAUUUCGCCGCAGCCCAUUACCAAAUCGCUUCCCACAACAAAACGCUCAGUCACAGUGUCUGCUUCCGUUUCUACCGCGACAGUUACUACCCAUUCAGAUCUAAAUUGAAGUCGUCUUCUUCUCCGGUUGAAGAAACCUUUGCUGCCCGUUCAAGAAACCUCACAGCGUGGUUUACGUGUGCCGUUCUUGUCGUGGUAUGGCGUUUGCAGUUUUUCAUGGUAAGCAGAAGAUAGAGUGGUAUAUAUGGAACCCAUCAACUGGACUCUCCCAGAAACUACCUGAUCUUGGUGGUCCAAAUGAGUUUCUGAACUUUACUGGUUUCGGCUACGUCUCCGCCACCAACGACUGCAAGAUUCUCAUCGCCAACUCUAGCCUUAAGGAGGGAGAGCAAGCCAAGAUCCACAUCUUCUUGUCGCAAUCCAAAUCAUGGAGAAGGAUUCAAGAUUUUCCAUACUCGAACUUGUCAAUGACAAUGGCGGGGAUUCUUUGUCACGAGGCACUUCAUUGGCUGAGGUUCGAUGUUAUAGUUGCUUUUGAUUUAGCAAAUGAGGAGUUUCGGACAAUGCCACUGCCUGCCAUUAGGGAGGAGUAUGGAGGUGCCUAUUUCAGAAAUGUAGGGGACUUCUGAGGUUUUCUGUGUGUGAUUGGUCUGGCGAAUGUUACUACUAUGGAUUUGUGCGUGAUGAAUGAAUAUGAUAAGGGUAACUCCUGGACUAAGCUGUUUAACUUGAGGAUUGCCGAUCCUGAUGAGCAGAUACGUUAUAUCCAGCCAAUCUUGGUUACAGAAACUUGUACAUUUCUGGAGACACAAACUGCAUCAGGAAGCAGGCCGAAGCUGGUGAGGAGUUAUCAUAAGGAAGAGAAGAUUGAAGAGGUUCAUGUGAGGGCCGGAGUGAUUGGAUAUGAAGAGAGUCUACUUUGGCUUGAGUAAUUCGUUACUCUCUGCAUCCAAAUUCUGGUUAGUUGCUCCUCAUUUCCACUCUGUUCAAUGUAUUUUUGUUUCUUUUCUCAUUGCUACUUAUUUACUUGUUGAAUGUAUGUAACUUUUGAGUUUGUGACUUCAAAUAUGGAUAGAAAGUUACAAGUCCUUCAAAAUUUCUUGCAUUAGAAAGGUGUCCUGACAAAUGGCUUUUGUGCUUGCUUGAUAUUAUACCAUCUUACAGAUAAUAAGUAUUAACUUUGCCUAUAUAAUUUGAUGAUUGCACCCGGAGAUUGAUCUGUGCAUUCAGAUUCUGGUUAUCCUUUUGAAACUCAAACAUCAAUGGUUCCUUUUUUUUUUUUUGUAUAUUUUUUCUUUUACCAUUAGGCCUCUAAUAAUUAGACUUUCAUUAUUUGGAGAGAUCGCUAGAUACUUUGGGUUAGUAUGAGGAAUCAAUUAUUGGGAUUGAUUUGAAGACAUUUGUGGUCACCAUAGAGCAGACACUAAACUGUCAGUUAGCCUAAGCGGAUAUAUGGUAGAACAGGGAUCAUUUGAACCAAUUUUGAAACUGAUGAAAGAUGGUUAGACACACAUCAUUAAGAAAGUUGAGGUAUCUCUUCUGAUCAUUAGCAACAGAAGAUCACAUCAUCAUACGUUAUACUAUAGCUGUUCAGGCUGACAAACUAAUAGAAUCAAGGCAGGUUAACCACUGUUUGUGAUCAAGAG